RNA transcript from Chenopodium quinoa (quinoa), 3234 nucleotides. RefSeq lists it as uncharacterized. The transcript is spliced from 3 exons. NCBI's taxonomy places the organism in Eukaryota, Viridiplantae, Streptophyta, Magnoliopsida, Caryophyllales, Amaranthaceae. The record is from RefSeq and is a predicted model, not a curated record.
UUGAAUCAAUUCGAUGUGCGUGCGUCUUCAACAACAACAAAUUCGAAUCAAUUUCGAACCAAAAAUCAGAAAUUCUAGAUGGUUGGAGAAACUGAUACCAACAACAAUGGAGGUAACAACGGUUUUAAUGAAGAUAAGAAGCCUGCUCCUGAAAUUGAGUUUGAGGCGAAAGAAAAGCGGUGGCGAUGAGGGUGAUCCCGAGAUGCAGGAGAUGUGGGAUACCAUUGCUGGUGGUAAUUCUGAGGUGUGGCGAUGAGGGUGAUCCCGAGAUGCAGGAGAUGUGGGAUACCAUUGCUGGUGAGGUCAUAUUUUUGACUUCGUAGUGUUUAUGUUUUUUUAUCUUCUUGUGUUCCAGAGUUAUUAGCUGUUGAUAGUUUGUGGUUUGCUGCUAAUUAAAAGUAAUUGUCUUUGCUCUAUUGAACUGUGCUUGAUUCUAUAUUUUCCAUGUACUUGGCUCUUAAUUUGUGCUUUAAAAUACCAAUUGCUAAAGACUUAUGAAGUCUAGUCUAGAUUGAAAUAUAGUAGUUGAAGUAAAAUGGAACUCGGUUUUACUUUGACAAUUUAGAGAUGAUAGGAAGAGUUAUAAUUUGCAUCUGCGAAUGCUAGACUUAUGAAUUCAUAGAAAAACAGCUUACUUUUUGCAGUAUGAGAAGAUAAAAGGUAUAUUCUUGGCUGCACUUCAGUAGUUCAGUGUGUUAGCUUAGUGUGGGAUCUUGGUUUUUAUAAGAUUGUUGCCCUCCAAAACUAGUUAUGUUUGGGCAAUUGUUUAUGGGGUUCAAAUCAUGAGAGUGGUUUUUAGUCCUCAUUUGAACUAUUCUUCUUGUUUGUGAUAUUCAUGUCUUUUCUACGCAAAAUUAGUAUUGGUAUUUCAAUUUACUCUCCAACAUACACUGUUGGUCCAUUGUACUUCAUAUUCUAUUGCAAUAGUAGAAAUUUCAAUACAGCACUACAAAUUUAGCUCUACUUCAUUCUCAUACUCAAAUUUCUCUCUCCUUAAUUGGUUGAAUUUAUUAAUCUUUAAUUGUUGCCUGCUUAUUUAAGUAUGAUUUUUUCUUCAAUUCGGUUUGAUUUCUACUAAUUAAGUUAUUUUUUCUGUGAUUCGAGAUUAAGGGUUUUUAAUUGUGAGGAAAAUUUGGGAUAAUUCAACAAAUUUUGAAUAAUUUUCUGUUAGCUUUGUGUGUCACGAUUGAGCAUAGAAUUGUUACUAUAAGAAUCACUAAUCCUUAUUUCAGAGGAAUCCAAUUACUUGUAUUCUACCCACUUGAAUAAUGCCCACCGCCUGUUCGACGAAAUUACCACUUUUGAUACUAAGCUCUUUUUUUUAUGAUCAUCGUUUUGGUUCGACCCUUGUUAAUAAUGUGUGUUGUUGUGAUGGUUUAGUUUUUGUUUGUGACGAGAAAAGCAAGAUGUUGUUGGUAAACCUGACAACGAGGGAGAUUAAGGAGUUGCCGAGUCCGCGGUAUGUUCAGAUGUUCUUUAUCCUUAUGCUAGUUUUACUAUGUAUGGAAUUGGGUAUGCAAAAUUGAUCCUCUGACCUUGUAGACCAUUUUGGGGGGGGGGGGGGGGGAUGCAGAUUUACAUGAUCUAUCAUUCUCUACUGGAUUAGGCUUGACAAAUCCCUUCUUGUUCUUUCAUUGUUCUUCAAUUUUUGUUUUGUUUCCUGUUUUUUUUUUUUCCACUUAUUGCCUUUAUUAGAUCUAUGAUGUCUAACAUUUGAACUUGUAUGACUACACUAACUAUAUUAGCAAGCUUAAGAAUAGUUUAUCUCAAAAUAGCAAUGCAAAUACUUUAAAAGCAUACUUAAGGAUAUCACAUACAUAAUUGGUACUGGAGAGUGGCUGCAGGACAGCAAUUAACUUAAUCAACUUAUUCCUCAUCCUUGUUGUCUGGCAUUUAUAGUCUUUUGAUCAGUUUGCUUAACAUUUAAUUCUGUGAUGAUAAUUAUACCAUCUAAUUUGCUGCAUUUCAAUUUGGAGUUGUAUGCUGAUGUUGGUAGAUGCUUUCUCUGACCAAGUGACCAGGAAAGAACCAAAUGAAUUGAUAAAACUUGUCAGAUCUCUUACAGUGGAAAGUAAUGGAACUUUUGGUAAACUGCUUUGCAUAAUUUUGAUCCUGAUAAUUGACAGCAAUGUCUACGUAAUUUCCUGAUAUAAUUGCUUUUUUCUUUUUCCUGAUUUAUUUCCUCGAGGUGAAACUACUCCAAAUAAGCGAAACCCAGCAAUUAUGGAAGCUAGGAAAUGGCAGCAAGAGAAAAGAUCAGGCUUAAAGAAAAAGUUUAAGUAGUUAGUACCAUUCCAAGUUUGGAGGAGGGGAAGUGCUGUGAUAUCUGGAGGAUUGCUUUAUUACAUGUUACUCAAACAGAAUGUUGUCUUAUAUAAUGUGUAUUACUAUAUCUGCUAUCUAUAUGAGCACACAACUUGUUUUAAGGCUUGUUAUUAUGAUUUUUUUCUGGCUUGUUUUAAGGCAGGAUUUCCUUCCUUAUAUGAGUAGUGUUAUGCUUCUUCUUCUUCUUUAGUCUGCUUAGCUUAUACCUGAUGUGACCAUCUCCUCUGCAGACUGAUAAUGAUAUUGAAGAUUCCGAUGAUGAAAGGUCAAGUCUGAGCAAUUAUGGAUAAAAUCAAGCAGGUCCUCACUGCUAGCUCGAGUAGAAAAAGAGAGGUCAGAGAGGGCUAAAGUAGAGGACUAUGAUGCUGAAGAGAGUAAUUUACUUAAAGAGGAAAAUGAGCAGUAAGAAAAAGAGAGAGAUCAAAGAGGGCCAAAGCUUAGAAGUGAGUCCCCUUGGUUGAAAACUGUAAUCCUUGGUGUGAUCACUUAAGUGAUCACCCAGCCAGCCUGAACAGAGCAGAAACAAAGCCACAGAAGCAGAACAGAUGCCCAGCUAGCUUGAACAUGACAGAGGUACAGUAGCGCAGCAGAAUAGAAACAGCAGCACAUCAAACAGCAGAGCAGCCUGUCAGCCUGAACACACAACAACACAGCAGCCAACACAGCAGCCACCAGCACAAGACCAGGACAGCUCCUGCUGGAACUCAGACUAGGAACAGGAGAGCAACACAGAACAGUAGCCAAACUGAAGAAAAAUAACAGUCACUAAAACAGUAUGCUGUUCUUGAGCCCUUGCAGCCACUUACAAUGUUGUCUUGUCUAUUUUUAAUGAAAACAUGUAACUUUAUAUAUAUGUUAGUGUUUAUAUGUCAAUUUAAGUGAAAAAAAUGCAAAAAAAAAAAAAAAAAA